This 478-nucleotide ribosomal RNA is filed under the name uncultured bacterium. RNAcentral's name for it is "partial 16S ribosomal RNA". It matches the Rfam family "Bacterial small subunit ribosomal RNA", at positions 28 to 523 of the family's 1533-position model. The record is from RNAcentral.
GACGAACGCUGGCGGCUUGCUUAACACAUGCAAGUCGAACGGUAAGACCCUUCGGGGUACACGAGUGGCGAACGGGUGAGUAACACGUGGGUGAUCUGCCCUGCACUUCGGGAUAAGCCUGGGAAACUGGGUCUAAUACCGGAUAGGACCACUGCCUGCAUGGGUGGUGGUGGAAAGCUUUUGCGGGUUGGGAUGGGCCCGCGGCCGAGCAGCUUGUUGGUGGGGGGAUGGCCUACCAAGGCGACGACGGGUAGCCGGCCUGAGAGGGGGAGCGGCCACACUGGGACUGAGAUACGGCCCAGACUCCUACGGGAGGCAGCAGUGGGUAAUCUUGCGCAAUGGGCGCAAGCCUGAUGCAGCGACGCCGCGUGAGGGAUGACGGCCUUCGGGUUGUAAACCUCUUUCAGCACCGACGAAGCGCAAGUGACGGUAGGUGCAGAAGAAGGACCGGCCAACUACGUGCCAGCCGCCGCCGUAA